UAACGACUCUCGGCAACGGAUAUCUCGGCUCUCGCAUCGAUGAAGAACGUAGCGAAAUGCGAUACUUGGUGUGAAUUGCAGAAUCCCGUGAACCAUCGAGUCUUUGAACGCAAGUUGCGCCCAAAGCCUUCCGGCCGAGGGCACGUCUGCCUGGGAGUCACG
This 162-nucleotide ribosomal RNA is filed under the name Opuntia microdasys (bunny ears cactus). Its description in RNAcentral is "5.8S ribosomal RNA". It matches the Rfam family "5.8S ribosomal RNA". Rfam says of the family: 5.8S ribosomal RNA (5.8S rRNA) is a component of the large subunit of the eukaryotic ribosome. It is transcribed by RNA polymerase I as part of the 45S precursor that also contains 18S and 28S rRNA. The record is from RNAcentral. Lineage: Eukaryota; Viridiplantae; Streptophyta; Magnoliopsida; Caryophyllales; Cactaceae.